Molecule: ribosomal RNA, 2921 nt
Filed under: Staphylococcus aureus subsp. aureus TCH60
Lineage: Bacteria; Bacillati; Bacillota; Bacilli; Caryophanales; Staphylococcaceae
Description: bacterial LSU rRNA
Rfam family: Bacterial large subunit ribosomal RNA
Source: RNAcentral
UUAAGUUAUUAAGGGCGCAUGGUGGAUGCCUUGGCACUAGAAGCCGAUGAAGGACGUUACUAACGACGAUAUGCUUUGGGGAGCUGUAAGUAAGCUUUGAUCCAGAGAUUUCCGAAUGGGGAAACCCAGCAUGAGUUAUGUCAUGUUAUCGAUAUGUGAAUACAUAGCAUAUCAGAAGGCACACCCGGAGAACUGAAACAUCUUAGUACCCGGAGGAAGAGAAAGAAAAUUCGAUUCCCUUAGUAGCGGCGAGCGAAACGGGAAGAGCCCAAACCAACAAGCUUGCUUGUUGGGGUUGUAGGACACUCUAUACGGAGUUACAAAGGACGACAUUAGACGAAUCAUCUGGAAAGAUGAAUCAAAGAAGGUAAUAAUCCUGUAGUCGAAAAUGUUGUCUCUCUUGAGUGGAUCCUGAGUACGACGGAGCACGUGAAAUUCCGUCGGAAUCUGGGAGGACCAUCUCCUAAGGCUAAAUACUCUCUAGUGACCGAUAGUGAACCAGUACCGUGAGGGAAAGGUGAAAAGCACCCCGGAAGGGGAGUGAAAUAGAACCUGAAACCGUGUGCUUACAAGUAGUCAGAGCCCGUUAAUGGGUGAUGGCGUGCCUUUUGUAGAAUGAACCGGCGAGUUACGAUUUGAUGCAAGGUUAAGCAGUAAAUGUGGAGCCGUAGCGAAAGCGAGUCUGAAUAGGGCGUUUAGUAUUUGGUCGUAGACCCGAAACCAGGUGAUCUACCCUUGGUCAGGUUGAAGUUCAGGUAACACUGAAUGGAGGACCGAACCGACUUACGUUGAAAAGUGAGCGGAUGAACUGAGGGUAGCGGAGAAAUUCCAAUCGAACCUGGAGAUAGCUGGUUCUCUCCGAAAUAGCUUUAGGGCUAGCCUCAAGUGAUGAUUAUUGGAGGUAGAGCACUGUUUGGACGAGGGGCCCCUCUCGGGUUACCGAAUUCAGACAAACUCCGAAUGCCAAUUAAUUUAACUUGGGAGUCAGAACAUGGGUGAUAAGGUCCGUGUUCGAAAGGGAAACAGCCCAGACCACCAGCUAAGGUCCCAAAAUAUAUGUUAAGUGGAAAAGGAUGUGGCGUUGCCCAGACAACUAGGAUGUUGGCUUAGAAGCAGCCAUCAUUUAAAGAGUGCGUAAUAGCUCACUAGUCGAGUGACACUGCGCCGAAAAUGUACCGGGGCUAAACAUAUUACCGAAGCUGUGGAUUGUCCUUUGGACAAUGGUAGGAGAGCGUUCUAAGGGCGUUGAAGCAUGAUCGUAAGGACAUGUGGAGCGCUUAGAAGUGAGAAUGCCGGUGUGAGUAGCGAAAGACGGGUGAGAAUCCCGUCCACCGAUUGACUAAGGUUUCCAGAGGAAGGCUCGUCCGCUCUGGGUUAGUCGGGUCCUAAGCUGAGGCCGACAGGCGUAGGCGAUGGAUAACAGGUUGAUAUUCCUGUACCACCUAUAAUCGUUUUAAUCGAUGGGGGGACGCAGUAGGAUAGGCGAAGCGUGCGAUUGGAUUGCACGUCUAAGCAGUAAGGCUGAGUAUUAGGCAAAUCCGGUACUCAUUAAGGCUGAGCUGUGAUGGGGAGAAGACAUUGUGUCUUCGAGUCGUUGAUUUCACACUGCCGAGAAAAGCCUCUAGAUAGAAAAUAGGUGCCCGUACCGCAAACCGACACAGGUAGUCAAGAUGAGAAUUCUAAGGUGAGCGAGCGAACUCUCGUUAAGGAACUCGGCAAAAUGACCCCGUAACUUCGGGAGAAGGGGUGCUCUUUAGGGUUAACGCCCAGAAGAGCCGCAGUGAAUAGGCCCAAGCGACUGUUUAUCAAAAACACAGGUCUCUGCUAAACCGUAAGGUGAUGUAUAGGGGCUGACGCCUGCCCGGUGCUGGAAGGUUAAGAAGAGUGGUUAGCUUCUGCGAAGCUACGAAUCGAAGCCCCAGUAAACGGCGGCCGUAACUAUAACGGUCCUAAGGUAGCGAAAUUCCUUGUCGGGUAAGUUCCGACCCGCACGAAAGGCGUAACGAUUUGGGCACUGUCUCAACGAGAGACUCGGUGAAAUCAUAGUACCUGUGAAGAUGCAGGUUACCCGCGACAGGACGGAAAGACCCCGUGGAGCUUUACUGUAGCCUGAUAUUGAAAUUCGGCACAGCUUGUACAGGAUAGGUAGGAGCCUUUGAAACGUGAGCGCUAGCUUACGUGGAGGCGCUGGUGGGAUACUACCCUAGCUGUGUUGGCUUUCUAACCCGCACCACUUAUCGUGGUGGGAGACAGUGUCAGGCGGGCAGUUUGACUGGGGCGGUCGCCUCCUAAAAGGUAACGGAGGCGCUCAAAGGUUCCCUCAGAAUGGUUGGAAAUCAUUCAUAGAGUGUAAAGGCAUAAGGGAGCUUGACUGCGAGACCUACAAGUCGAGCAGGGUCGAAAGACGGACUUAGUGAUCCGGUGGUUCCGCAUGGAAGGGCCAUCGCUCAACGGAUAAAAGCUACCCCGGGGAUAACAGGCUUAUCUCCCCCAAGAGUUCACAUCGACGGGGAGGUUUGGCACCUCGAUGUCGGCUCAUCGCAUCCUGGGGCUGUAGUCGGUCCCAAGGGUUGGGCUGUUCGCCCAUUAAAGCGGUACGCGAGCUGGGUUCAGAACGUCGUGAGACAGUUCGGUCCCUAUCCGUCGUGGGCGUAGGAAAUUUGAGAGGAGCUGUCCUUAGUACGAGAGGACCGGGAUGGACAUACCUCUGGUGUACCAGUUGUCGUGCCAACGGCAUAGCUGGGUAGCUAUGUGUGGACGGGAUAAGUGCUGAAAGCAUCUAAGCAUGAAGCCCCCCUCAAGAUGAGAUUUCCCAACUUCGGUUAUAAGAUCCCUCAAAGAUGAUGAGGUUAAUAGGUUCGAGGUGGAAGCAUGGUGACAUGUGGAGCUGACGAAUACUAAUCGAUCGAAGACUUAAUCAA